RNAcentral lists this ribosomal RNA (432 nucleotides) under uncultured bacterium. RNAcentral's name for it is "bacterial SSU rRNA". It matches the Rfam family "Bacterial small subunit ribosomal RNA", at positions 771 to 1201 of the family's 1533-position model. The record is from RNAcentral.
ACCUAAUAGAUACCCUGGUAGUCCACGCCCUAAACGAUGCGAACUGGAUGUUGGGUACAUUACGGUACUCAGUGUCGAGGCUAAACGCGUUAAGUUCGCCGCCUGGGGAGUACGGUCGCAAGACUGAAACUCAAAGGAAUUGACGGGGGCCCGCACAAGCGGUGGAGUAUGUGGUUUAAUUCGAUGCAACGCGAAGAACCUUACCUGGCCUUGACAUCUGUCGAAUCCUGCAGAGAUGCGGGAGUGCCGCAAGGAACGACAAGACAGGUGCUGCAUGGCUGUCGUCAGCUCGUGUCGUGAGAUGUUGGGUUAAGUCCCGCAACGAGCGCAACCCUUGUCCCUAGUUGCCAGCACAUCAUGGUGGGAACUCUAGGGAGACUGCCGGUGACAAACCCGGAGGAAGGUGGGGAUGACGUCAAGUCCUCAUGGCCC